RNAcentral lists this long non-coding RNA (1664 nucleotides) under Triticum aestivum (bread wheat). RNAcentral's name for it is "long non-coding RNA (TAES_LNC020933)". The record is from RNAcentral. Lineage: Eukaryota; Viridiplantae; Streptophyta; Magnoliopsida; Poales; Poaceae.
CUGCCCUCGCUGCUUCAUCUACGUCAUGCUCCCCCAGGACGACCCUCGGUGCCCCCAGUGCAAGAGCCCCGUGCUCCUUGACUUCCUGCAGGACAGUGGCAACAAUAACAACAACACCAACAGCAACAGCAGGAAGAGCAGGAGGGGGUGAAAGAAGAGGAGGAGAGGCUCCAUUCGGCUGCACCGACAUCAAGAAAAGCGUUUAUAUGAAGUCCUAGGUCCAGUAGUUCUCUUUCGUUUGAUCAUUUCUUCAGUGUAACCAUGAUAUGUCAGUAUUAAAAUUGUGAGACUGGCAUAUAUCCAUGUGCUGGUGUCACGAUUUUGACACAUCAUGGAUACACUGGGGACUAUAUCCCCUCUCAUGUGUUCUUCUUCGGUGGUUCUAAAUGGAGUAGUUUGUUAGGCAUAGGACCAGACUUCUUCUCUUCUGUUUCUUACUUUCAAGACAAGAAAAGAUUACCCCUGAAAAUCUCAAGUUGGGCCGGAUGAGUAUUAUUCUGAAACAUCUAUGAUAGACAGGCAUCUGCGACUUCACACCAUGAACACCCAUCUGUUCAUUCCUUUGUGUUCAGACAAGGUAUGCAAAUCCACCAUACAAAGUGGAGAAAGUGCAAGAACAGUCAACCCCAGAAGUGGAGUGUUAGGAAUUUGUCACCACAGAUUAGUUGAACUAACCAAUUGGCACUACAACUCCCACGCCUCAACAUAAUGAGGACUCUACCUACUAUCCUUGAAAAAGACAUCAUGUAAUUAAAAAGGUGAUGAAAUUUCAAAUUGGAGAGAUAUAGUAUUUGAAACAAUCAAACAGUCUACGGUGUGACGCCAUGCAAUGAAUACCGAUUGAUUUCAGCAUCCAUCACUCUAUCUCUUGCCAUUAUACUUCCAUCUGAAUACGUGCAUUGUGACGCAGCACGCCAGCAACCUAAUUUAAUGCCCGCUUUGGUCAACUUUGCAAGCCGAUUGAUUUAUGUUUACUCAAUAAAGACAUCUCAGUUUGAGUCCACAUCAUCAUAAUCAGAUACGGAGACCAGCCAUGCUACUUGUUGGCUUGAAUCACAUCAGAAAAGGAAAAAAAACAGACAGGAAAUUAAAAAGCAUGUGCUUUGUUAAGUGUACCUUAAUUGUCCUGAUUGGAACGGUAAGCAUGUCACUUUCAUUUCAUCUUUCAAAGAAAAGACCUGUGUCCUCGUGUAGUUCAACGACAAGGCAGCAGAAAAGGAAAUGACCCCAUUACUUCCAAAGGAAAGUAAAUGACACACAACAUGGGAAAGAAAGGAAGAUAAAUAAAUACUCAGGCCAAAUUUUGGUAUGAUAUGUGAGGCUGCUAUAAUUGAUUGAUGUGUGAGAUUUUCUGUUCUUUCCUUGUCCUGGAUAACUACAAACACGUGAUCCAAACAUAGUUGGCAUUUCCUGCAACAUAAUCAAACACUUUCAGUAAAUGAAAUUGGAAGAUUGUAGAACAACUUAGUCGGACAGGAAUUUGGUGAACAUGGUUCCACGCGCACCCCUUAUGAGUAGUAAAUUCGAAAAAAUACUAUAAAAGAUUAAAAAAACUGAAAAAAAAAUAGUCGACCAAGUUGGAUAUCCCAAAAUUUCAGAUUUUUUUGAAAUUUUCUAGUAUAUUUUUUGGAUUUACUAUUCGUAUGGCUGCACGUGGAAUCAUG